ACGAAGGGUGCAAGCGUUAAUCGGAAUUACUGGGCGUAAAGCGUGCGUAGGCGGCUUUUUAAGUCGGAUGUGAAAUCCCCGGGCUCAACCUGGGAAUGGCAUCCGAUACUGGGGAGCUAGAGUUUGGGAGAGGGUGGUGGAAUUCCCGGUGUAGCGGUGAAAUGCGUAGAGAUCGGGAGGAACAUCAGUGGCGAAGGCGGCCACCUGGCCUAAAACUGACGCUGAGGCACGAAAGCGUGGGGAGCAAACAG
RNAcentral lists this ribosomal RNA (251 nucleotides) under uncultured prokaryote. RNAcentral's name for it is "partial 16S rRNA". It matches the Rfam family "Bacterial small subunit ribosomal RNA", at positions 525 to 775 of the family's 1533-position model. The record is from RNAcentral.